GCCUUUUAUUUAAGCCUCUCUCUCUCUCUUUCUGUGCACUGUUCUAGUGUUCUCUGAACGCGCACAAAAAAAAAGAAAAAAAAUCCUGAAAACGGCAUUAGAAAAAGCAGAAGCUCCGUGCGUCACUGCACCGCAUAUAAAAUCAAAGCCCAUAUUUUUCAUUUUCUCCACUCACUAGAAACAGACUACUCUCUCUCUCUCUCUCUCUA
RNAcentral lists this unclassified non-coding RNA (209 nucleotides) under Hevea brasiliensis (rubber tree). The record is from RNAcentral. Lineage: Eukaryota; Viridiplantae; Streptophyta; Magnoliopsida; Malpighiales; Euphorbiaceae.